RNAcentral lists this ribosomal RNA (554 nucleotides) under uncultured Alphaproteobacteria bacterium. RNAcentral's name for it is "bacterial SSU rRNA". It matches the Rfam family "Bacterial small subunit ribosomal RNA", at positions 1 to 547 of the family's 1533-position model. Lineage: Bacteria; Pseudomonadati; Pseudomonadota; Alphaproteobacteria. The record is from RNAcentral.
CAACGCGUUGGGAGCUCUCCCAUAUGGUCGACCUGCAGGCGGCCGCGAAUUCACUAGUGAUUAGAGUUUGAUCAUGGCUCAGAACGAACGCUGGCGGCAUGCCUAACACAUGCAAGUCGAACGAAGGCUUCGGCCUUAGUGGCGCACGGGUGCGUAACGCGUGGGAAUCUGCCCCUUGGUUCGGAAUAACAGUUAGAAAUGACUGCUAAUACCGGAUGACGACGUAAGUCCAAAGAUUUAUCGCCGAGGGAUGAGCCCGCGUAGGAUUAGCUAGUUGGUGUGGUAAAGGCGCACCAAGGCGACGAUCCUUAGCUGGUCUGAGAGGAUGAUCAGCCACACUGGGACUGAGACACGGCCCAGACUCCUACGGGAGGCAGCAGUGGGGAAUAUUGGACAAUGGGCGAAAGCCUGAUCCAGCAAUGCCGCGUGAGUGAUGAAGGCCUUAGGGUUGUAAAGCUCUUUUACCCGGGAUGAUAAUGACAGUACCGGGAGAAUAAGCUCCGGCUAACUCCGUGCCAGCAGCCGCGGUAAUACGAAUCGAAUUCCCGCGGCCG